CCUACGGGAGGCAGCAGUGGGGAAUAUUGCACAAUGGGCGAAAGCCUGAUGCAGCGACGCCGCGUGAGGGAUGACGGCCUUCGGGUUGUAAACCUCUUUCAGCAGGGAAGAAGCGAGAGUGACGGUACCUGCAGAAGAAGCGCCGGCUAACUACGUGCCAGCAGCCGCGGUAAUACGUAGGGCGCAAGCGUUGUCCGGAAUUAUUGGGCGUAAAGAGCUCGUAGGCGGCUUGUUGCGUCGGUUGUGAAAGCCCGGGGCUUAACCCCGGGUCUGCAGUCGAUACGGGCAGGCUAGAGUGUGGUAGGGGAGAUCGGAAUUCCUGGUGUAGCGGUGAAAUGCGCAGAUAUCAGGAGGAACACCGGUGGCGAAGGCGGAUCUCUGGGCCAUUACUGACGCUGAGGAGCGAAAGCGUGGGGAGCGAACAGGAUUAGAUACCCUGGUAGUCCACGCCGUAAACGUUGGGAACUAGGUGUUGGCGACAUUCCACGUCGUCGGUGCCGCAGCUAACGCAUUAAGUUCCCGCCUGGGGAGUACGGCCGCAAGGCUAAACUACGAAUGAGUGNGNGNGNGCGAGCGACGACGACGGAGAGGAG
RNAcentral lists this ribosomal RNA (593 nucleotides) under uncultured bacterium. RNAcentral describes it as "bacterial SSU rRNA". It matches the Rfam family "Bacterial small subunit ribosomal RNA", at positions 338 to 942 of the family's 1533-position model. The record is from RNAcentral.